Molecule: ribosomal RNA, 498 nt
Filed under: uncultured bacterium
Lineage: Bacteria
Description: bacterial SSU rRNA
Rfam family: Bacterial small subunit ribosomal RNA
Source: RNAcentral
GAUGAACGCUAGCGGGAGGCCUAACACAUGCAAGCCGAGCGGUAGAUUGCUUUCGGGCAAUUGAGAGCGGCGCACGGGUGCGGAACACGUGUGCAACCUGCCUUUAUCUGGGGGAUAGCCUUUCGAAAGGAAGAUUAAUACCCCAUAAUAUAUUAAGUGGCAUCACUUGAUAUUGAAAGCUCCGGCGGAUAGAGAUGGGCACGCGCAAGAUUAGAUAGUUGGUGAGGUAACGGCUCACCAAGUCAAUGAUCUUUAGGGGGCCUGAGAGGGUGAUCCCCCACACUGGUACUGAGACACGGACCAGACUCCUACGGGAGGCAGCAGUGAGGAAUAUUGGACAAUGGGUGAGAGCCUGAUCCAGCCAUCCCGCGUGAAGGACGACGGCCCUAUGGGUUGUAAACUUCUUUUGUACAGGGAUAAACCUUUCCACGUGUGGAAAGCUGAAGGUACUGUACGAAUAAGCACCGGCUAACUCCGUGCCAGCAGCCGCAGUAAGAC